CCGAGUUUACAACUCCCAACCCAAUGUGAACGUUACCAAACUGCUGCCUCGGCGGGAUCUCUGCCCCGGGUGCGUCGCAGCCCCGGACCAAGGCGCCCGCCGGAGGACCAACCAAAACUCUUAUUGUAUACCCCCUCGCGGGUUUUUUUAUAAUCUGAGCCUUCUCGGCGCCUCUCGUAGGCGUUUCGAAAAUGAAUCA
This 199-nucleotide unclassified non-coding RNA is filed under the name soil metagenome. RNAcentral describes it as "partial internal transcribed spacer 1". The record is from RNAcentral.